RNAcentral lists this ribosomal RNA (351 nucleotides) under uncultured bacterium. Its description in RNAcentral is "bacterial SSU rRNA". It matches the Rfam family "Bacterial small subunit ribosomal RNA", at positions 30 to 378 of the family's 1533-position model. The record is from RNAcentral.
AUUGAACGCUGGCGGCAUGCCUUACACAUGCAAGUCGAACGGCAGCACGGGAGCGAAUCCUGGUGGCGGAGUGGCGAACGGGUGAGUAAUAUAUCGGAACGUGCCCAGUCGUGGGGAUAACGUAGCGAAAGCUACGCUAAUACCGCAUACGAUCUAUGGAUGAAAGCGGGGGAUCGCAAGACCUCGCGCGAUUGGAGCGGCCGAUAUCAGAUUAGGUAGUUGGUGAGGUAAAGGCUCGCCAAGCCGACGAUCUGUAGCUGGGUCCUGAGAGGACGACCAGCCACACUGGGACUGAGACACGGCCCAGACUCCUACGGGAGGCAGCAGUGGGGAAUUUUGGACAAUGGGCGC